UACGUAGGGCGCAAGCGUUAUCCGGAAUUAUUGGGCGUAAAGAGCUCGUAGGCGGUUUGUCGCGUCUGCCGUGAAAGUCCGGGGCUCAACUCCGGAUCUGCGGUGGGUACGGGCAGACUAGAGUGAUGUAGGGGAGACUGGAAUUCCUGGUGUAGCGGUGAAAUGCGUAGAUAUCUGGAGGAACACCGGUGGCGAAAGCGGCUCUCUGGAACGGUACUGACGCUGAGACGCGAAAGCGUGGGGAGCGAACAGG
Molecule: ribosomal RNA, 253 nt
Filed under: uncultured bacterium
Lineage: Bacteria
Description: partial 16S ribosomal RNA
Rfam family: Bacterial small subunit ribosomal RNA
Source: RNAcentral